RNAcentral lists this ribosomal RNA (816 nucleotides) under uncultured bacterium. RNAcentral describes it as "bacterial SSU rRNA". It matches the Rfam family "Bacterial small subunit ribosomal RNA", at positions 56 to 918 of the family's 1533-position model. The record is from RNAcentral.
UGCAAGUCCAACGAACCUUCGGGUUAGUGGCGGACGGGUGAGUAACGCGUGAGAAUCUGCCCUCAGGAGGGGGGUAACAGUUGGAAACGACUGCUAAUACCCCAUAUGCCGAGAGGUGAAACUAAUUUCGCCUGGGGAUGAGCUCGCGUCUGAUUAGCUUGUUGGUGGGGUAAUGGCCUACCAAGGCUUUGAUCAGUAGCUGGUCUGAGAGGACGAUCAGCCACACUGGGACUGAGACACGGCCCACACUCCUACGGGAGGCAGCAGUGGGGAAUUUUCCGCAGUGGGCGAAAGCCUGACGGAGCAACGCCGCGUGAGGGAUGAAGGCCUUUGGGCUGUAAACCUCUUUUCUCAAGGAAGAAGAUCUGACGGUACUUGAGGAAUAAGCCACGGCUAAUUCCGUGCCAGCAGCCGCGGUAAUACGGGAGUGGCAAGCGUUAUCCGGAAUUAUUGGGCGUAAAGCGUCCGCAGGCGGCCGUUUAAGUCUGUUGUUAAAUUGUGGAGCUCAACUCCAUCACGGCAAUGGAAACUGUUCGGCUUGAGUAUGGUAGGGGCAGAGGGAAUUUCCGGUGUAGCGGUGAUAUGCGUAGAUAUCGGGAAGAACACCAGUGGCGAAAGCGCUCUGCUGGGCCAUUACUGACGCUCAUGGACGAAAGCCAGGGGAGCGAAAUGGAUUAGAUACCCAUGUAGUCCUGGCCGUAAACGAUGAACACUAGAUGUUGGGGGAAUCGACCCCCUCAGUGUCGUAGCUAACGCGUUAAGUGUUCCGCCUGUGGAGUACGCACGCAAGUGUGAAACUCAAAGGAAUUGACGGGG